RNAcentral lists this ribosomal RNA (461 nucleotides) under uncultured bacterium. RNAcentral's name for it is "partial 16S ribosomal RNA". It matches the Rfam family "Bacterial small subunit ribosomal RNA", at positions 338 to 795 of the family's 1533-position model. The record is from RNAcentral.
ACUACGGUGGGCAGCAGUGAGGAAUAUUGGUCAAUGGGCGUAAGCCUGAACCAGCCAAGUCGCGUGAGGGCUGAAGGUUCUAUGGAUCGUAAACCUCUUUUAUCAGGGAAUAAAGUGCGGGACGUGUCCCGUUUUGUAUGUACCUUAUGAAUACGGAUCGGCUAACUACGUGCCAGCAGCCGCGGUAAUACGGAGGAUCCGAGCGUUAUCCGGAUUUCUUUGGGUUUAAAGUGUGCGUAGGCGGCCUUUUAAGUCAGCGGUGAAAGUCUGUGGAGAAACCAUAGAAUUGCCGUUGAAACUGGGAGGCUUGAGGAUGUUUGAGGCAGGCGGAAGGCGUGGUGUAGCGGUGAAAUGCUUAGAUAUCACGCAGAACCCAGAUUGCGAAGGCAGCCUGCCAAGCCAUGACUGACGCUGAUGCACGAAAGCGUGGGGAUCAAACAGGAUUAGAGACCCCAGUAGUC